AUUAACAACAAUCUGUUAAUAGUAGAUGAUUUCUUUUCUUUUUUAAUUUUUAUUUUUUAUUUAAAUUAGAAACAAGCUUCUUUUACAUGUCAAUCUCAGUUCCCUCUCCCUCCCCUACUUCCCCCCCACUGACCCCCCUAUCGCAACCCCUUUCUGCUCCCCAGGGAAGUUGAGGCCUUCCUUUGCGGAUAUUCAAAGUCUGUUAUAUCAUUUGGAGCAGGGCCUAGACCCUACCCAGUGUGUCUAGGCUGCAAGAGUAUCCUCCUAUGAGGAGAGGGCUCCCAAAGUUCAUUUGUGUACUAGGGGUAAAUACUGACCCACUACCAGUGGCCCCAUAGAUUUUCCAGACCUCCAAACUGACCUCCUCCUUCAGGGGGUCUGAAACAGUCCUAUGCUGGUUUCCCAGCUAUCAGUCUGGGGUUCAUGAGCAACCCCUUGUUCAGGCCAGCUGUUUCUUUGGGUUUCUCCAGCCUGAUCUUGACCCCUUUGCUAAUCACUCCUUCCUCUCUGCAACUGGAUUCCAGAGUUCAGCUCAGUGUUUAGCUGUGAGUGCCUGUGUCUGCUUCUGCUUCCAUCAGCUACUGGAUGAAGGCUCUAAGAUGGCGUAUAAGCAAACAUAUAGAGGAGAUCAUGGAUGUACUACCAUUCAAAGUAGCUUCAAAGACAAUAAAAUAUCUGGAAAUAAAGCUAAGCAAGGAAGGAAGACCUCUACCAUGGAAACUAAAACUCUGAAUAGAUAAAGUCACUAAAAAAUUCAAAGACAUCCCAUGUUCAUGAAUUGGUAGAACCGCAUUGUGAAAAAUGACCACUCUGUCAAAAGCUACUUACAGAUUCAUUCUAUCCCGUUCAAAAGUCCCACCUCUUUCUUCAUAGAAAUAGAAAAAAAAACCUUGUUCUAAAAGUUAUGUGGAACCAUAAAAGAUUCUGG
RNAcentral lists this long non-coding RNA (928 nucleotides) under Cricetulus griseus (Chinese hamster). Its description in RNAcentral is "lncRNA (ENSCGRG00015031140.1)". The record is from RNAcentral. Lineage: Eukaryota; Metazoa; Chordata; Mammalia; Rodentia; Cricetidae.